UGUGGGGCUCGAACCCAUGAACAGCGAGAUCAUGACCUGAACGGAAGUUGGACGCUUAACCAACUGAACCCCCCCAGGUACCCCCAAAAUAAAAUUGAAUUUUGUGUAUUGAUCUUGGAUCCUAUGACCCUGUGGAAUUUGUUUAUUAGUCCUCAUUUUGUUUUUGUUUUUGCUUUUGUGUUGUUUGUGGAUUUUUUUGGUACGGGUUCCUUGGGGUGCUCAACAUAUGGGACCACGUUUCUGCAAAUAAAGGCAGGUUUACUUCUUCCUUUCCAAUCUCUAUGCCCUUUAGUUCUGUUUCUUGCCUGAUUGUACUGGCUGGAACUUCCUAGUACAACGUUGGCCAGAAGUGGCAUUCCUGAUCUUAGGGCAGAGCAUCAAGUCUUUGGCCAUUAAGUAGGAUGUUAGCUGUAGAACUUUCUGUAGUGCUCUUUGCUGGCAUGGAACAGUUUCAUUCUGUCUGAGUCUUUAGAGUUUUUUUGAGUGAGUGUUGGAUUUUGUCAAACGUUUACUUCACUUAUUGAGAGGCUCAUGCGGUUUAUGUCCUUUAUUUUAUUUAUUUUCAGAUGUUAAACCAACCUUGAAUUCCAGGGACAAAUCCCAUUUGGUCGUGCAGCUGUAGGUUCACAGCAAAAUUGAAAGAAUGUGGAGGUUUCCUGUGGAACUCCUGUCCUCCCAGCUGUGAACAUCCCCACCAGAGUAGUGCAUUUGUUACAAUCGGUGAACCUACAUUGACAAGCCAUUAUCGCUCAGACUCCCUAGUUUACAUUAGCGUUCACUCCUGAUGUUGUAAUUCUGUGGAUUUGGACAAAUUUAUAAUGAUACAUAGCCACCAUUAUCAUAAAGAGUGUUUUCACUGUCCUUAAAAUCUUCUGUACCCCCCAGACUUAUCCUCUUUCCCUCCUAACUUCUGGAAACCGCUGGUCUUGUUGUUGUUCCUGUGUUUUGCCUUCUCUGGGAUGUCAUAUCAUCGGAAGCAUGUAGUCAGCAUGUCACCUUUUCAGAUUGACUCACUUCACCUACCAACAUGCAUUUAAAGUUCCUUCGUGUGUAUUUGUGGCUUAAGAGCCCAUUUCCUUUUAGUGCUGAAUAACAUUCCAUUCUUUGGACGUACCACGGUUUAUCCGUUUACCUACUGGAGGACACCUUGGUGGCUUUCAAGUUGUGGCAAUUAUGAAUAAACUAUGGAUCAGGCUGCUAUAAA
Felis catus (domestic cat) is the source of this 1204-nucleotide long non-coding RNA. RefSeq lists it as uncharacterized. The transcript is spliced from 2 exons. The record is from RefSeq and is a predicted model, not a curated record. NCBI's taxonomy places the organism in Eukaryota, Metazoa, Chordata, Mammalia, Carnivora, Felidae.